Molecule: long non-coding RNA, 393 nt
Organism: Cyprinus carpio carpio
Lineage: Eukaryota; Metazoa; Chordata; Actinopteri; Cypriniformes; Cyprinidae
Source: Ensembl
GGUGGAGUUUAGUUCAGCGGUGUUUGUGUGUGUAGUUAGGCGAUGGGUGGAGUUUAGUUCAGCGGUGUUUUUUAGUUCAGCAGUGUUUGUGUGUUCAGUUAGGCGAUGCGUGGAGUUUAGUUCAGCAGUGUUUGUGUGCUUAGUUAGGCGAUGGGUGGAGUUUAGUUCCGUGUGUAAGGCUGAGGCAGCAGCAGUGCAGAGCAGAGCUCUAGCGGAGCUUCAGUCGGAUUCACAGCUCGAACUCGCUCUGACCGUCGCGCACUUUCUCAGAUGUGUUUCUGUGUUUCCAGCGCGCUGAGUUGGGCAGCUGGAGGACUAGUUUGCUGAGUUAGGCAGCUGGAGGACUAGUUUAGUUUAGCGAUGUCCUGCUCGCGCGCUUAGUGGUUAGUUUGU